CAAGUCGGACGGGAUUUUCUUUGGUAGCAAUACCGAAAAAAAUUCAGUGGCGAACGGGUGCGUAACACGUGGGCAAUCUGUCUUAAAGUGGGGGAUAGCUCGGCGAAAGCCGAAUUAAUACCGCAUGUGAUCAGAGGCGACAUCGCUUCGAAAUCAAAGGUGGCGCAAGCUACCGCUUUUUGAGGAGCCCGCGGCCUAUCAGCUUGUUGGUGAGGUAAUGGCUCACCAAGGCGUUGACGGGUAGCUGGUCUGAGAGGACGACCAGUCACACUGGGACUGAGACACGGCCCAGACACCUACGGGUGGCAGCAGUCGAGAAUUUUUCUCAAUGGGGGAAACCCUGAAGGAGCGACGCCGCGUGGAGGAUGAAGGUCUUCGGGUUGUAAACUCCUGUCAUUUGGGAACAAGUCGUACGUAUUAACUGUACGUGCGUUGAUAGUACCAGAAGAGGAAGAGACGGCUAACUCUGUGCCAGCAGCCGCGGUAAUACAGAGGUCUCAAGCGUUGUUCGGAUUCAUUGGGCGUAAAGGGUGCGUAGGCGGCGCGGUAAGUCGGGUGUGAAAUCUCGGAGCUUAACUCCGAAACUGCAUUCGAUACUGCCGUGCUUGAGGACUGGAGAGGAGACUGGAAUUUACGGUGUAGCGGUGAAAUGCGUAGAUAUCGUAAGGAAGACCAGUGGCGAAGGCGGGUCUCUGGACAGUUCCUGACGCUGAGGCACGAAGGCCAGGGGAGCAAACGGGAUUAGAUACCCCGGUAGUCCUGGCAGUAAACGGUGCACGUUUGGUGUGGGAGGAUUCGACCCCUUCUGCGCCGGAGCUAACGCGUUAAACGUGCCGCCUGGGGAGUACGGUCGCAAGAUUAAAACUCAAAGAAAUUGACGGGGGCCCGCACAAGCGGUG
RNAcentral lists this ribosomal RNA (899 nucleotides) under uncultured Verrucomicrobiae bacterium. RNAcentral describes it as "bacterial SSU rRNA". It matches the Rfam family "Bacterial small subunit ribosomal RNA", at positions 58 to 934 of the family's 1533-position model. The record is from RNAcentral. Lineage: Bacteria; Pseudomonadati; Verrucomicrobiota; Verrucomicrobiia.